UUACACAUGCAAGUCGAGGGGCAUCAGGAAGAAAGCUUGCUUUCUUUGCUGGCGACCGGCGCACGGGUGAGUAACACGUAUCCAACCUGCCCUUUACUCGGGGAUAGCCUUUCGAAAGAAAGAUUAAUACCCGAUAGCAUAAUGAUUCCGCAUGGUUUCAUUAUUAAAGGAUUCCGGUAAAGGAUGGGGAUGCGUUCCAUUAGGUUGUUGGUGAGGUAACGGCCCACCAAGCCUUCGAUGGAUAGGGGUUCUGAGAGGAAGGUCCCCCACAUUGGAACUGAGACACGGUCCAAACUCCUACGGGAGGCAGCAGUGAGGAAUAUUGGUCAAUGGGCGCUAGCCUGAACCAGCCAAGUAGCGUGAAGGAUGAAGGCUCUAUGGGUCGUAAACUUCUUUUAUAUAAGAAUAAAGUGCAGUAUGUAUACUGUUUUGUAUGUAUUAUAUGAAUAAGGAUCGGCUAACUCCGUGCCAGCAGCCGCGGUAAUACGGAGGAUCCGAGCGUUAUCCGGAUUUAUUGGGUUUAAAGGGAGCGUAGGUGGACUGGUAAGUCAGUUGUGAAAGUUUGCGGCUCAACCGUAAAAUUGCAGUUGAUACUGUCAGUCUUGAGUACAGUAGAGGUGGGCGGAAUUCGUGGUGUAGCGGUGAAAUGCUUAGAUAUCACGAAGAACUCCGAUUGCGAAGGCAGCUCACUGGACUGCAACUGACACUGAUGCUCGAAAGUGUGGGUAUCAAACAGGAUUAGAUACCCUGGUAGUCCACACAGUAAACGAUGAAUACUCGCUGUUUGCGAUAUACAGUAAGCGGCCAAGCGAAAGCAUUAAGUAUUCCACCUGGGGAGUACGCCGGCAACGGUGAAACUCAAAGGAAUUGACGGGGGCCCGCACAAGCGGAGGAACAUGUGGUUUAAUUCGAUGAUACGCGAGGAACCUUACCCGGGCUUAAAUUGCAGUGGAAUGAUGUGGAAACAUGUCAGUGAGCAAUCACCGCUGUGAAGGUGCUGCAUGGUUGUCGUCAGCUCGUGCCGUGAGGUGUCGGCUUAAGUGCCAUAACGAGCGCAACCCUUAUCUUCAGUUACUAACAGGUUAUGCUGAGGACUCUGGAGAGACUGCCGUCGUAAGAUGUGAGGAAGGUGGGGAUGACGUCAAAUCAGCACGGCCCUUACGUCCGGGGCUACACACGUGUUACAAUGGGGGGUACAGAAGGCAGCUAGCGGGUGACCGUAUGCUAAUCCCAAAAGCCUCUCUCAGUUCGGAUCGAAGUCUGCAACCCGACUUCGUGAAGCUGGAUUCGCUAGUAAUCGCGCAUCAGCCACGGCGCGGUGAAUACGUUCCCGGGCCUUGUACACACCGCCCGUCAAGCCAUGGGAGCCGGGGGGUACCUGAAGUACGUAAACCGCAAAGGAUCGUCCUA
RNAcentral lists this ribosomal RNA (1410 nucleotides) under Bacteroides fragilis. Its description in RNAcentral is "bacterial SSU rRNA". It matches the Rfam family "Bacterial small subunit ribosomal RNA". The record is from RNAcentral. Lineage: Bacteria; Pseudomonadati; Bacteroidota; Bacteroidia; Bacteroidales; Bacteroidaceae.